This 264-nucleotide ribosomal RNA is filed under the name uncultured bacterium. RNAcentral's name for it is "partial 16S ribosomal RNA". It matches the Rfam family "Bacterial small subunit ribosomal RNA", at positions 793 to 1055 of the family's 1533-position model. The record is from RNAcentral.
GUCCACGCUGUAACGAUGAGCACUAGGUGUGGGAGGGUUCAGUCCCUUCCGUGCCGCAGCUAACGCAUUAAGUGCUCCGCCUGGGAGUACGGCCGCAAGGUUGAACUCAAGGAAUUGACGGGGCCCGGCACAAGCGGUGGAGCAUGUGGUUCAAUUCGAUGCAGAGCGAAGAACCUUACCUGGGCUUGACAUGCAGGAAGUAGAACCGGAAACGGCGACGACCUGUUAAGUCAGGAACCUGCACAGGUGGUGCAUGGCUGUCGU